RNAcentral lists this ribosomal RNA (1451 nucleotides) under uncultured organism. RNAcentral describes it as "SSU rRNA". It matches the Rfam family "Bacterial small subunit ribosomal RNA". The record is from RNAcentral.
UGAACGCUAGCUACAGGCUUAACACAUGCAAGUCGAGGGGCAGCAUGGUCUUAGCUUGCUAAGGCCGAUGGCGACCGGCGCACGGGUGAGUAACACGUAUCCAACCUGCCGUCUACUCUUGGACAGCCUUCUGAAAGGAAGAUUAAUACAAGAUGGCAUCAUGAGUCCGCAUGUUCACAUGAUUAAAGGUAUUCCGGUAGACGAUGGGGAUGCGUUCCAUUAGAUAGUAGGCGGGGUAACGGCCCACCUAGUCUUCGAUGGAUAGGGGUUCUGAGAGGAAGGUCCCCCACAUUGGAACUGAGACACGGUCCAAACUCCUACGGGAGGCAGCAGUGAGGAAUAUUGGUCAAUGGGCGAGAGCCUGAACCAGCCAAGUAGCGUGAAGGAUGACUGCCCUAUGGGUUGUAAACUUCUUUUAUAAAGGAAUAAAGUCGGGUAUGCAUACCCGUUUGCAUGUACUUUAUGAAUAAGGAUCGGCUAACUCCGUGCCAGCAGCCGCGGUAAUACGGAGGAUCCGAGCGUUAUCCGGAUUUAUUGGGUUUAAAGGGAGCGUAGAUGGAUGUUUAAGUCAGUUGUGAAAGUUUGCGGCUCAACCGUAAAAUUGCAGUUGAUACUGGAUAUCUUGAGUGCAGUUGAGGCAGGCGGAAUUCGUGGUGUAGCGGUGAAAUGCUUAGAUAUCACGAAGAACUCCGAUUGCGAAGGCAGCCUGCUAAGCUGCAACUGACAUUGAGGCUCGAAAGUGUGGGUAUCAAACAGGAUUAGAUACCCUGGUAGUCCACACGGUAAACGAUGAAUACUCGCUGUUUGCGAUAUACGGCAAGCGGCCAAGCGAAAGCGUUAAGUAUUCCACCUGGGGAGUACGCCGGCAACGGUGAAACUCAAAGGAAUUGACGGGGGCCCGCACAAGCGGAGGAACAUGUGGUUUAAUUCGAUGAUACGCGAGGAACCUUACCCGGGCUUAAAUUGCAGAUGAAUUACGGUGAAAGCCGUAAGCCGCAAGGCAUCUGUGAAGGUGCUGCAUGGUUGUCGUCAGCUCGUGCCGUGAGGUGUCGGCUUAAGUGCCAUAACGAGCGCAACCCUUGUUGUCAGUUACUAACAGGUUCCGCUGAGGACUCUGACAAGACUGCCAUCGUAAGAUGUGAGGAAGGUGGGGAUGACGUCAAAUCAGCACGGCCCUUACGUCCGGGGCUACACACGUGUUACAAUGGGGGGUACAGAGGGCCGCUACCACGCGAGUGGAUGCCAAUCCCCAAAACCUCUCUCAGUUCGGACUGGAGUCUGCAACCCGACUCCACGAAGCUGGAUUCGCUAGUAAUCGCGCAUCAGCCACGGCGCGGUGAAUACGUUCCCGGGCCUUGUACACACCGCCCGUCAAGCCAUGGAAGCCGGGGGUGCCUGAAGUCCGUAACCGCGAGGAUCGGCCUAGGGCAAAACUGGUAACUGGGGCUAAG